CCUACGGGAGGCAGCAGUGGGGAAUAUUGGGCAAUGGAGGAAACUCUGACCCAGCGACGCCGCGUGCGGGAUGAAGGCCUUCGGGUUGUAAACCGCUUUCAGUAGGGAAGAAGCGAAAGUGACGGUACCUACAAAAGAAGCACCGGCUAACUAUGUGCCAGCAGCCGCGGUAAUACAUAGGGUGCAAGCGUUGUCCGGAAUUAUUGGGCGUAAAGAGCUCGUAGGUCGUUUGUUACGUCGGAUGUGAAAACCUGAGGCUCAACCUCAGGCCUGCAUUCGAUACGGGCAAACUAGAGUUUGGUAGGGGAGACUGGAAUUCCUGGUGUAGCGGUGGAAUGCGCAGAUAUCAGGAGGAACACCAAUGGCGAAGGCAGGUCUCUGGGCCAAUACUGACACUGAGGAGCGAAAGUCUGGGGAGCGAACAGGAUUAGAUACCCUGGUAGUCCAGACCGUAAACGGUGGGCACUAGUUGUGGGAACCUUCCACGGUUUCUGCGACGCNGCUACGCAUAGUGCCCGCCGUCGGGAGGUACGACGUCGCGAGAAGUUAAACGUACAAGUAGAAGUUAAGUACGGUCGUUGAGUAGUUGCCGAACGGCGACCGACGAGGGAGGUUAGG
Molecule: ribosomal RNA, 618 nt
Filed under: uncultured bacterium
Lineage: Bacteria
Description: bacterial SSU rRNA
Rfam family: Bacterial small subunit ribosomal RNA (bases 1-520)
Source: RNAcentral